Molecule: ribosomal RNA, 2332 nt
Filed under: human gut metagenome
Description: bacterial LSU rRNA
Rfam family: Bacterial large subunit ribosomal RNA
Source: RNAcentral
UCAAGUAGAAAAGGGCGCAUGGUGAAUGCCUAGGCACUAGAAGCCGAUGAAGGACGUGACGAACCACGAAAGGCUUCGGGGAGCAGUAAGUAAGCGAUGAUCCGGAGAUAUCCGAAUGGGGGAACCCAAUACCGCGAGGUAUUAUCAAGAGCUGUUAAGGCUGUUGAAGGAAGACGCAGUGAACUGAAACAUCUAAGUAGCUGCAGGAAGAGAAAGAAAAAUCGAUUUCCCAAGUAGCGGCGAGCGAACAGGAAAGAGCCCAAACCAGCUGGCUUGCCAGUUGGGGUAGUAGGACUGCAAUAAAGUACUUGAAGCGAUAGCAGAAUUAUCUGGAAAGAUAAGCCAGAGAGGGUGAGAGCCCCGUAAGCGAAAUUGCAGAGAGACUUAGCAGGAUCCUGAGUAGGUCGGGACACGAGGAAUCCCGAUUGAAACCGCGAGGACCAUCUCGCAAGGCUAAAUACUAACUAGUGACCGAUAGUGAACCAGUACCGUGAGGGAAAGGUGAAAAGAACCCCGGAAGGGGAGUGAAAGAGAACCUGAAACCGUGUGCCUACAAGUAGUCAAAGCACAUUAAAGUGUAAUGGCGUGCCUUUUGUAGAAUGAACCGGCGAGUUACGUUAUGGUGCAAGGUUAAGUCAGAAAAGACGGAGCCGGAGCGAAAGCGAGUCUGAAGAGGGCGAGAGAGUAUCAUGACGUAGACCCGAAACCAAGUGACCUACCCAUGACCAGGUUGAAGGCGUGGUAAAACACGCUGGAGGACCGAACCCACGUGAGUUAAAAAUCGCGGGGAUGAGUUGUGGGUAGCGGUGAAAUUCCAAACGAACUUGGAGAUAGCUGGUUCUCUCCGAAAUAGCUUUAGGGCUAGCCUCGUGUGAAUGAUAAUGGAGGUAGAGCGCUGUUUGGACUAGGGGCCCGUCAGGGGUUACUGAAUCCAGAUAAACUCCGAAUGCCAGAUAUCAAUGCACGGGAGUCAGACUGCGAGUGAUAAGAUCCGUAGUCGAAAGGGAAACAGCCCAGAUCACCAGUUAAGGUCCCCAAAUCUAUGCUAAGUGGAAAAGGAUGUGGAGUUGCGUAGACAACUAGGAUGUUGGCUUAGAAGCAGCCACCAUUUAAAGAGUGCGUAAUAGCUCACUAGUCGAGUGACGCUGCGCCGAAAAUGUACCGGGGCUAAGCAUAGUACCGAAACUGUGGAUGCAUAUCAAAGGAUAUGCGUGGUAGGAGAGCGUUCUAAGUGCGGAGAAGUUAGAUCGAGAGGACUAAUGGAGCGCUUAGAAGUGAGAAUGCCGGUAUGAGUAGCGAAAGAUAGGUGAGAAUCCUAUCCGCCGAAAGACUAAGGUUUCCUGGGGCAGGCUCGUCCGCCCAGGGUAAGUCGGGACCUAAGGUAAGGCCGAGAGGCGUAGCCGAUGGACAACAGGUAGAGAUUCCUGUACUGAAAUUGUUCGAUAAGAGCAAAGGAGGGACGCAGGAGGCUAAUGACGCAUGUAGCUGGAAAAACAUGUGCAAGCAGUAAGAAAAAACAUGAGUCAAAUGCUUAUGUUUAGAUUUCAAGCUGUGACGCGGAGUGAAAUCAAAGUAGCGAAGGUCAUGAUGUCACACUGCCAAGAAAAGCUUCUAGCCAGAGCAAUUUUACCCGUACCGCAAACCGACACAGGUAGUCGAGUGGAGAACACUCAGGUGAGCGAGAGAACUCUCGUUAAGGAACUCGGCAAAAUGACCCCGUAACUUCGGGAGAAGGGGUGCUGAUGGUAAAAGAUCAGCCGCAGUGAAUAGGCCCAAACAACUGUUUAUCAAAAACACAGGUAUCUGCAAAAUCGUAAGAUGACGUAUAGGUGCUGACACCUGCCCGGUGCUGGAAGGUUAAGAGGAGAGCUUAGCGCAAGCGAAGGUUUGAAUUGAAGCCCCAGUAAACGGCGGCCGUAACUAUAACGGUCCUAAGGUAGCGAAAUUCCUUGUCGGGUAAGUUCCGACCUGCACGAAAGGUGUAAUGAUUUGGGCACUGUCUCAACGAGAGACUCGGUGAAAUUAUAAUACCCGUGAAGAUGCGGGUUACCCGCGACAGGACGGAAAGACCCCAUGGAGCUUUACUGUAGCUUGAUAUUGAGUAUUUGUUAAACAUGUACAGGAUAGGUAGGAGCCAGAGAAAGUAGGACGCUAGUCUUACUGGAGGCAAUGUUGGGAUACUACCCUUGUUUGAUGGAUCCUCUAACUCGCAGAGCUGAGCGUUCUGGAGGACAGUGUCAGGUGGGCAGUUUGACUGGGGCGGUCGCCUCCUAAAAUGUAACGGAGGCGCCCAAAGGUUCCCUCAGAAUGGUUGGAAAUCAUUCGCAGAGUG